Molecule: ribosomal RNA, 538 nt
Filed under: Paenibacillaceae bacterium C31
Lineage: Bacteria; Bacillati; Bacillota; Bacilli; Caryophanales; Paenibacillaceae
Description: bacterial SSU rRNA
Rfam family: Bacterial small subunit ribosomal RNA
Source: RNAcentral
UGGAGAGUUUGAUCCUGGCUCAGGACGAACGCUGGCGGCGUGCCUAAUACAUGCAAGUCGAGCGGAGUUGAUGAGGUGCUUGCACCUCUGAUACUUAGCGGCGGACGGGUGAGUAACACGUGGGUAACCUGCCUAUAAGACUGGGAUAACAUUCGGAAACGAAUGCUAAUACCGGAUACGCGAUAUGGUCGCAUGACUGAAUCGGGAAAGAUGGAGCAAUCUAUCACUUAUAGAUGGACCCGCGGCGCAUUAGCUAGUUGGUGAGGUAACGGCUCACCAAGGCGACGAUGCGUAGCCGACCUGAGAGGGUGAUCGGCCACACUGGGACUGAGACACGGCCCAGACUCCUACGGGAGGCAGCAGUAGGGAAUCUUCCGCAAUGGACGAAAGUCUGACGGAGCAACGCCGCGUGAGUGAUGAAGGUUUUCGGAUCGUAAAGCUCUGUUGCCAGGGAAGAAUGCUUGGGAGAGUAACUGCUCUCAAGGUGACGGUACCUGAGAAGAAAGCCCCGGCUAACUACGUGCCAGCAGCCGCGGUA